GUGGGGAAUCUUGCGCAAUGGGCGAAAGCCUGACGCAGCCAUGCCGCGUGGAUGAUGAAGGUCUUAGGAUUGUAAAAUCCUUUCACCGGUGAAGAUAAUGACUGUAGCCGGAGAAGAAGCCCCGGCUAACUUCGUGCCAGCAGCCGCGGUAAUACGAAGGGGGCUAGCGUUGCUCGGAUUUACUGGGCGUAAAGGGCGCGUAGGCGGACAGCUUAGUCAGAGGUGAAAGCCCAGGGCUCAACCUUGGAAUUGCCUUUGAUACUGGCUGUCUUGAGUUUGGGAGAGGUGAGUGGAACUCCGAGUGUAGAGGUGAAAUUCGUAGAUAUUCGGAAGAACACCAGUGGCGAAGGCGACUCACUGGCCCGUUACUGACGCUGAGGCGCGAAAGCGUGGGGAGCAAACAGGAUUAGAUACCCCAGUAGUCC
Molecule: ribosomal RNA, 425 nt
Filed under: uncultured bacterium
Lineage: Bacteria
Description: partial 16S ribosomal RNA
Rfam family: Bacterial small subunit ribosomal RNA
Source: RNAcentral